CCUACGGGAGGCAGCAGUGAGGAAUAUUGGUCAAUGGCCGGAAGGCUGAACCAGCCAUGCCGCGUGAAGGUCAGUGCCCUAUGGGCGUUAAACUUCUUUUGUGCGGGAGCAAUAAUGGUCACGUGUGGCCAGACGAGAGUACCGUACGAAUAAGCAUCGGCUAACUCCGUGCCAGCAGCCGCGGUAAUACGGGGGAUGCAAGCGUUAUCCGGAUUUAUUGGGUUUAAAGGGUGCGUAGGCUGUGAGGUAAGUCAGCGGUGAAAUGCCCCCGCUCAACGGGGUGAAGUGCCAUUGAUACUGCCUGGCUGGAAUGCGGAUGACGUGGAAGGAAUGUGUGGUGUAGCGGUGAAAUGCAUAGAUAUCACACAGAACACCGAUUGCGAAGGCAUCUCACGAAUCCGCGAUUGACGCUGAUGCACGAAAGCGUGGGUAUCAAACAGGAUUAGAUACCCGGGUAGUC
This 460-nucleotide ribosomal RNA is filed under the name uncultured bacterium. Its description in RNAcentral is "partial 16S ribosomal RNA". It matches the Rfam family "Bacterial small subunit ribosomal RNA", at positions 338 to 795 of the family's 1533-position model. The record is from RNAcentral.